Molecule: long non-coding RNA, 21498 nt
Filed under: Coffea arabica (coffee)
Lineage: Eukaryota; Viridiplantae; Streptophyta; Magnoliopsida; Gentianales; Rubiaceae
Description: long non-coding RNA (CARA_LNC003602)
Source: RNAcentral
UUUUUUUUUUUUUUUUUUUUUGUGUCAAACAGACGUGUGCCCAUUUGACCUACCAAACAUUUCCACUUCGAUUCUGCCACUAAAUUGAAGGAUCACCACGUGCACGCCAGACCAUGACAACCCCAAUCAAAGAACAAUCGAAAAGCAACGCUUUCCUUCCUUCCUUCCAACCUUUUUAUUCAACUAUUCAAGAUUUGACCUAGCUAACGCUUUCUCUUUAUACGCGAUCAAGCCCCACAAACAUACUCUCCCUAUGAUAGACACGUACGCACGUUGCAGUAUAAGAAUCUCAACAAACGAUUAAUUAUGCCAACUAAUAAUCAUCACCAAAAUUACUACAUUAUUAUUUAAUUAAUCCAAACACCACCUUUUAACUUGAAAUGCCUCGUGCUGUAUAUUCAAAGCUUGCUCUGAUCGUAGGUUCUGAGAAAACAAAAUGGAUUUUUUUUGAAAUAAUUUCACAAUAAAUUUAUCAAUUCUUUUUUUUUUAAUUUCAUAUACAUUACAUUUUAAAAAACGUGUCAUAAAAUUGCAGUAGCGUAAAUAGAAUCUAAUCUCCUCAGCCCAACAUUUUGUUGUUCACUUCUCGUGCACAUUGUCUUCCGAUAUGAAACAUGAGUUGCAAUCGAUGUCAUGGUGAUGAGGUUCAUUAGUUUCUUCGUUAGUGGUUAUCUUUUACUUGUACUGAUUAAUCUAGGAUUAGAUGUCAAUGUGAUGAUUACUCUUUAUUUAGUCUACGUACUUCAUAGGCUACCACGUAGACUUUUGGGAGCCUCUAUUGAAUUGAAAAUUGAUAUUUAUCCAUUUGAGUUACGCCGGGAGGAGAUUGUGGAGUGAAAGAAACCCCAAAAGGCCGUAGAAAAAUACAAACGCCUAUAAUCGGGCCCCACCUACCUAUUCGAAGAGGAGUAAAAAGGAGGAAAAAAAAUAAAGAAAAAAAUGUGGGUAACGUGGCAGCAAAAUGUGACUCCAGUACAGGACCCCCUUUCUUUACUGUCGAUUUCACUAUCCUUCUUUUGAAAAAAUUCCGCCAACUCCAAAACGCCUCUCGUGCUUUGAGUCCACGUGUAUGCACGUGUCCAUCACUCUAUCUCUCAUCCCUGCCGACGUGUUCUUAAUCAACGCGUGAAAAAUGCAUUCCACUUUUUUUCAUGUUUACUAGGAAGGAAAGAAAGAAAAAAACACCUCACACAAUCACACACUACACACACCACAGAAUGAUAGAGAAUCAACCCACCCAGGGUGCGCCAUUCUCUCUCUCUCUUUUUUUUUUUUUUUUUUGGGAUCUCUCGGAGAGAUCCGAGAAAUGCCAGAGAAGUAACACAGGUCUUCUAGAGAUUACGUGAGGGGGAGGCACGUGGCCGGGAGAUCUUUCAAUUUUAUUUUUUUUCAUUUUGCAGAAAAAAAAAUUUUUUGGUCGAGGGAAUUAAUGCAUUUUCUUUUCUGGGAGGGUUCAUGCACCUGGAGGGAAGCUUUACCACUGGAUAAGGUCGGCCGCUUGAUAAUGCCGAAUUCUUAGUACGUGUCACCCUAUGAACGGUGAUGAACUCGGGAUGGGACCCAUUUCUGGACUUUUGAGAAAAAGACGACCGUACUUAUCUCUCCGUUACCCCUCAGUCUGCACCAAUAUAAAUACCGUCCAAUCCCCCACUACCCAAAAAAUUGAAAAAAGAAUUCUUGGAGAGCGUUUCCAGAGUUCGACUUCUCCAACGCCACCUCCCGCCCUUUUUUGCCCUCCACUCUAGUCAAAGUUAUUUUUUAACUAUUUUCUUCCUGAAAGGAAAAGGAAAAAAAAAAAAAUGGGUGUUCGAGAAACUGACCCGCUUUCACAACUGAGCUUGCCACCUGGGUUUAGAUUCUAUCCUACAGACGAGGAGCUGUUGGUGCAGUACCUCUGCAGAAAAGUUGCAGGCCAUGAUUUUAAUCUUCAAAUUAUAGCAGAGAUUGAUCUUUACAAGUUUGACCCAUGGGAUCUUCCGAGUAAGAAUUUCUCUUUUUCUUUUUUCCUAAUGAUUUGUUGUGACGAUCAUUUAAAAAAAAAGACAAAGUUGUUUCUGAUUGUUUUAUGUUAUUUAUUGAUUUUGUGCAGGUAAGGCAAUAUUUGGGGAGAAAGAAUGGUACUUUUUUAGCCCAAGGGACAGGAAGUACCCGAAUGGAUCGAGACCCAAUAGAGUUGCUGGCUCCGGCUACUGGAAAGCCACUGGAACCGACAAGGUCAUCACCACCGAAGGACGUAAAGUUGGGAUCAAGAAAGCCCUCGUUUUUUAUGUGGGCAAAGCACCUAAAGGCACCAAGACCAAUUGGAUCAUGCAUGAAUACAGACUCUCCGAGCCUUCAAGGAAAAAUGGUAGCGCCAGGGUAAGGACGAUUAGUUUACAUUUUUAUCUUUUAUCAUAUCCAUCGAUUCCUUGGAUUUUUUUAUUAAAAUUGUGGUUUUCCAAGAUUAAUCGGAGUUUUUCUUUGUACAUGCAGUUGGAUGAUUGGGUGCUAUGUCGAAUUUACAAGAAAAAUUCGAGUGCAGGUGCAAAGCCGGUUUCUGGGCUUCAGAGCAGAGAGCACAGUCAUGGCUCAUCUACGUCAUCCUCAUCUCAGUUCGACGAUGUUCUCGAGUCGUUGCCGGAGAUUAGUGACCGGUUUUUCGCCUUACCAAGAAUGAACUCUCUCAAGAAUCUCCACCAAGAUGAUCAGAAAAUCAAUAUUCAAAACUUGGGUUCAGGGAGCUUUGAUUGGGCGACCCUCGCCGGACUGAACUCGUUGCCGGAACUCGGUCCCGGAAGCCAAGCUCAAGCUAUUCCGGCAGCAGCUGCACAUGGACAUGUGAACAACAACGUGGCCAGCUGCAAUAACAACGAUAGGAAUAAUGUGAAUGCCCAGAAUGACAUGUACGUCCCAUCGUUUCCGCAGGCCGGCCACGUGGACGAGGAAGUACAGAGUGGGCUGAGGAGGCACCGGGUUGAGAAUUCGAGUUUCUUUCAGCAUAACGCCAACCCUCUUGUGCCUCACACACACAGCUUUCACAACUCGGUGGACCCAUUCGGGAUCCGGUACCCGCCGACCCAAACCGGGAUUAUGGGUUUUAGGCCAUGAAGAGUAAAUCUAGGAGAUAAAACUGUGAUGGGUGAAGAUUGUGCUUUGGGGUGAAUUUGUAAAUAUAUGGAUUCUUUGGGCCGACAAUUUGACUUUAAUUCCAAGAGAAGACAAAGAACAGCACGGGGAGACUUUCAAGAAUUUUAUUAUGGGUGGGGUUGGGUGUCUUGAUACAUAUGCCUUAUGGUUACCCCAUUCGUUUUUUUGUAGUAGUAAUUUCUAGGAGAAUGCUAUUUACCUGAAAUGUCCAUGACCAUGAGAAUGUAUAUGUACUCUCUGCUCAAAAGCUGAGCGAGCUAUUAAUGUACAUCAAGAUCUUAAUAUAAUUGGGGAAUUCAAAGGUAAUUAUUAUUGUAGUAUAUUCAGCAUUAUUUAUUUCUUUCCUUAAAACUUGUUUUCUUGGCUAGUUGAGAAUAUUUUGCAAAAAUUUUGUCUACGUGCAAGUGAUAUCCCUUAAACUAUCAAUAGGGGUUGAUCUGAGUGGUAAGCGGCUCGAAUUCGCUUAAACAGGUCUCGUGUUCGAGUUCUAGUGUAUGCAGACACCCUUGUUGGGAGAUUCACCCAUCAUAAUCAGGUGCGCUACGCGGGUCGUGUCCGGAUUAGUCGGGGCAAAGUUUCGGAUACCGGACGGGUAACCAAAGAUAUCCCUUAAACUUAUCAAUGGCACCCCAUCACGCAAAUUAAACUUAUCUUUUGUAUUUUUACAUUUUUUUAAUUAAGUUUAUCACUCAAAAAAUUUAAAACUUGAAAUAGAUACAUACAUGUAAACAAGGCAUGCAUGCUCAAGAUUUUAUGUUCCUUUUUUUUUCCCCACAUAGCAAAGAGUUAAUGUUAACGAAAUGUUGCUCAUUGGACGUUGAAUUAGUAUCGGCUCCAUCUAAAUUAGUAUUUUUGAAAAAUCCGAACCAAACACAUUUUUUUUAAAAAAAAAAAAAAUUUAUACGCGUCAUAUUGUAAAAAGUACCAGCAUAAUUAUUUUCUCUAAAAUCAAACUUUUGAAAAUAAAAAUGCAAUCCGAUACAUGGUAUGAACCCAUACAUUGGAGUGACGCGAAGAUGCCGAAGUCAAAUUCCAUUCUUGAUCCUUGAAUUGAGGAUCGCACGCCUGCCCAUGACAUGAUGAAACAUUGUAUUUGACAGGGUCAAGUUGUUUGACCAGAAAUAAGCACGUGAUUUUAGAACAACCGCCAAGAUUAGGCCUAACGGCGAUAUCCUUUUUCUUUUUCCGAGGAAGGUAUCCUAUAGUUUCACCAUUGCGGCGCCAGCUGAAUGACAGGUCCUAAGCUACAUUGGCGGCGGCGGCUGUUAAACUCCAAUGAAGGAAGUUGGAAUUCUCUGCCAAAAUAAAUAAAAAAAAGUUGGGACAUUUAUAAUUCAAAAGCUUUUCGAAGAUUUUCUUUUUCUUUUUUUACUUUCAUUUGUUUCUUCUAACAUUUCUUUUUUCGGUCCGUCUAACGGGUGCUAGUGCCUUUUGAACACCCAUUAAAAUGUAUUUCAGGUAUUCGAUUUUUAAAAAUGUAAAAAAAUAAUAAUUAUUAAUAUGCAUGUAUAUAUAUAUAUAUAUAUAUGAUAAAUUAGAUAAAAUGUACAUGUGUUAAAGGAGUGUCCUGAACCGUUCAUUUUUUCUACGGAGAAACCUUUGCAUGUGCCAUUGUACCAAUAAAGAAAGAUUAGCCGGCAGGAAGAAAGCCCAUUUUGGAGAGGACCUUUGAAAAGUAUGCAACUUGCAUAUGUUAAUUAAAUGAUGAGCUUGCUUAAGAAAAAUUGACCGACUUAUUUUAUUGGACUCUUGUGAAAGAUAAAGAUGUUUCCAUUAUCUUCUGAAACUAAAAUAUUUGUGGACAUCAACGUUGAGUUGUUCUUGGGAAGGUUAAAUAAUGACAAUAAUAUUCUAUUGAUUGGCUUUUUAUACAUGUUCUUUUCCUCUGUAAUAUAAGUUUCUGAAAAAGAAAAUUCCAUUUUAUGAAGCUAGAAGUGAAAAUAUAUAAUGGCCACUUUUUUCUUUUUGGUAAGUAAGAGAUUUUGAAUCCAGAAGCUCCUACUCACAAUUACUUCCACUUACCACCCAACCCAAUCCUCCCUCGUCUAAUUACCACUUGAUUGUUCGUUUCUUCGGAUUUCGAAAAAAACAAAAAAAAAUCUUGAACUUGGACCUCCCUGAAAAAUCAUAAAAUGGCUUAAUUUGGAUCACUGCAUAGUCCCUCGAAAGCUUCCACAGCUAUACAUUUGACGUUUCGUAAAAGGAUUUCCUAACCAGUAAAGCACCACUAUCCAGUAACGACACAUUGGGCCCAUCUUAUUGGACUUAAAUAGGAUUUGAGGCUGUGGUUGAUUUUGGGCCUCUUUUGACUAUCUAUUUAAGCCUUCCAUGAUUUGUGAUCUUGCAACAUUACAAAAGUAAACGUGCAGCGACACAAAUUGGCUCAUGACAUAUGAUUCAUGGCCUCGUGCACAAGACUCAACCAGCACAAACUUAUAUUCUCUCCCCCUCUCUCUCUCUUCUUCCCCAAUUUUUAAUAACUUAUCAAUAAAGCAUUAAUCUUCUAGCAUAUACAUAUCAAGCUUUGGUGCAUGAUAAUUAAUUUUAAUUUAAUUUUAAAAUUCAAAAUUUACACGUGUGAUAUGUAUCCAAAUUCAAUAAUAUAUAUACCAUCAAUGUAUAUAUAUAUAUAUAAGAUUAAUUCAUGGAUGAAUAGCGAGGGAGAGAUUUAUUUGGAUUUUAUAUGUUGAACGACCUUUUUUUUCCUAGACACAAUAAAUUCUAUUUUGGACCAAUUUCUACCUUACACUAAAGGGAAUGGUUAAAUUCAAUGGGGAACCCGAAAGGAGUUGAACGCUACUAAACCAGAUGCUGGACAAGAUUACAGGUCAAGCGCCCCCGGUGGCCAACUACUUGGUUGUUGAACAACUUGCCUUAGUCUUUUCAUUUGCAGCGAGGGAGCUGCUGGUUUGCGGUGGGAGCAAAUAUGCGUUUACGAGAAUCCCGCAAGAGCACGAAGUGCGACUGAACCUCCACGAAUCAUGGGUUUUGUCCAUUUCCUAAAGCAUUUUGCACCGCGGAGAACAGCAAGUUAUUAUUGCAUUUAAUAUUUUUACGUUACAACUAGAAGUAUUUAUACAUCCUUUGAAAAAGGAAAAAACUUAAUCCUGCUCUUACUUAUCGAGAUUUUUUGAGAGAAUGAAGUCGCCUAUGGCUACAUGAUCAAUGACCCGAUUAGGGGUGAUAUUGAACCAAAUAGCUCGAUUCGAACUCGCGAGCUACUUAAUCAACAGCUCGACUCUCGAACUCAUUUUGAUAGAAUUCGAGAUUAAGUUUGAGUUACUUGUUUAAACGCGUGAGUCUAGCUCAAAUUCCAAAUUAUUGUACUCGAAGCUCGAUGAGCCUAAUCGAGUAUUUUUAUAAUAUAUAUAUAAUUUUGUAUAUUUAUUAUUGUGAAAUGUCAAUAGACUCGAUUGAGUUUGAUUAGAAUCGAUUAGAUUUAGUUAGACGCGAGUGAGACAAACUGAAGUCGAAUUCAAAUUCGAAUUCAAUUAUUUUACCUUGAGUCGAGCUUUACUAGUGCACUAUUUGAAUUCGAUUCGACUCGAUUCAAAUGCACCCCUAAAUCUGAUAACACGACAGCUAUGAAAAAAUAUCGAGGAAACAGCGACUAUAUAUGCAUGUUAAAAGCUUCACAAUGUUAAAAUCAUUCAAGAAAUCUACAAUAUAACUGUACAAGGUUUUAACUAUUAACAUCAAUCGGACAUUACAUAGUUGCAAUAUUCUUGUGCCCAGAUGCUUACAAGUUAAAAGGGGGCAAAAAAUAAAAAAAUCAUAAGUUCCCUUUGGGUGUACUUCGGCUGCUGAUGUCAGUCCCACUUGCAAUAGUGAAUAGCCUAAUUGAUGUACAUACAAUCCUUUUCACAUAGAGAUUACCUUUCCGGAUUUUGUCAAAAUAUUAGUGAAUGGAUACGAAAAAUAGUUGACAUUCAUUUUUACUAUAGAUGGAUAGGCAAUGAGAUCAAUGAGCAUGAAGCUGCAAACAAAUCACUCCUAUAACUUCACAAACAAAAGCAGCCCUUAUCAUCAUUGUUAUAACCCCACUGAACUUCUCCCCAAGAAAAAUGAAAAAGUAACCCAUAAAUUAAGGAGGUUAAAUGAAUCUUGUGACACGUGUCAAAGAUAUUACGCAUAUGUCCAAAGGUGGCAGUGCGUAUCUUUAUCUUUUGUUGAGAGGAAGUAUUAGCUGUGUGACAGUAAUAUUUCUUUAGCUGCUAAUUACUUGGAUCAAGAUAAAUGACCAAGUAUAUGUCUUUGUAUACAAAUUUGGAAAGUGAUUGUGCCCAGCAGCACCAUGUACAGCAUGGAUUAGUAUUAUCAAUAGCUAGUUGUGAUUGCAACUUUUAAGUUAGAUUAUCUUUACAUUCUAUAUUUGGAAAAGCAAAACUCAGACACCUAGAACCCUCUUCAAUCGCAAUUCUUAGCUCUUCUAAAUUGUGGCCAUGCUUGUCAUUGUUUUAGAUAAUGAAAUCCAUUAGCAAAAUCCUAGUUUAGGUGCAACGAAUUCGUAUUCGUGUUAGGGAAAGACUACCGCAUAUUAUGCCAAAUUACGGGACUUGAUUUUGAUAAUUAUUAUGUGAUUCAUUACCAUUGUUUUCGUACAUUAUACGGUAGAUCUGCAAUUAUACACAAUUUGAAUAUUCUAAUUAUAAAUUGCUACUUUUGUACGUAUAUCUAAUUUUGUUACUGCACAAAAUAUCUUCAUCUAGCUAGUUGGGUGCGUGAUUGGAGGUUUAAGAAAAUUUUCGAAUUUGGGACCUCAAGGAAUUUCUUUUUCUUUUACAGGAAAUUAAAACUGUCGUUCUUUUUUCAAUUUUUGUUGUUAAUCGUGUCAUUUUUUUCAUUAUUAAAUCAUUUUCGUGUACGAUAAGAAGAUACUAAAACUUCAAUUCUCUUGUUUUAGAGGAAAAACUAACAAAAAUUCACGUCUUAAUGGCAAAAAAUAAAAGAAAAAGAAAACCGCAGUCUUCUUGAAUACAUCCAUGAUUGUCUAUGGCUUUUAAUUCCUUCUCCACCUAUUUGAGAAAAGGUAUUCCAAAGUAUUUAUAAAACCCAUGCUUUGCAACAAAUAAAUAGAUACUGAUAUUGCUUUACUUACAUAAGUAAAGUGACGCACAAAAAAUCCGUCUGUACAUUUUGUCCAUGAAGCACUCAAAUUCGCUUUAGAAGUAUUAGCCUAAAUAAAUAAAUGAAAGGGUUGUUUGGAAUAGUCGAAGAUGGUUAAAAUCACUAUGGAAUCGGAAGGUUGGCCUCUUUUGCUUUCUUAGGGCAGUCAAUAAUCAAAUUGGUAACUUGUUUGCCGUUUGACGGAUUCACUUCCCUCGUAGUCAUAGAGGUUCAUUCGUAGUACUAAUGUGACAUUCGAAUAUGGUUGACCAUUGAUACAAGAAAAUCAAAAUUACCAUGAAACCUUCUUGCAUUUGAAAAACGCAGUCAAAAUGGACAAGUCCAAGUCCGCUAACAACUUAAUUAAUUCUACUUCUUCUUUUUUUUUUUUUUCUCCAGAAUUUGCCUUUUUAGCUAGGAACCCUUAAUUCUUCUUCAGUUCAAUUUUGUUUCGGUUCCUAUAUAUAAGUUCAAUAUUGUCAAAACUCUUAGGAACUCAAUAUUCAAAUUGAGCAUCUUGUCACAACUAGCUAGGGAUAUACAGGUGAUGUGCAGAUGACAACAGCAGAACAUCAUCAGUAAUGGACACAUGCAUAUAUAUGAUGAAGAUCAUUGACGAUGAUAAAAAAAAAAAGAAAAAAGAAAUAUAUGAUGAUGAUGAUGAUGAUGUGGUUAGUGUAUUAAUUAAGAAGGAAAACAAAUUGUUGUAGCAUACCAAACUGCUGAUUUCGUAAGGAUAAUUAUGUACAACAGAUUUAUUUGAUGAGGCUUGAAUCACAUGUGAAAGGGUCAUGCAAUUGUGACUUGCCUGAAUUUGUUAGAUGCUAUGGAAUUCUGCCUUUCUUGUGGCGUAAUUCCAGGGCCUGUCUUUUAAACUUGUUCGGCAUCAUAACUGAUGCAUGCCAAAGGAAAGCUGACUUUGCCUACCCCAUUGUCAAAAUCAUAUUACAUACAAUCUUUGUCUAUUUUCAGAAUGCGUAGGAAUCCCAUUGUAACUCUUCUUCCCUGGAUUUUAGCUACAUCAAGGGUUUAAUGGUUUUUUUUUUUUUUUUUGUGAGGCUACAAAAAGUUUUUUCCAGCUAUCAAGUACCUACGUACAAAUUGAUGAAAUGGUUCUCCAAAGGACAGGCUGUAUAUGCUCUCGAUCGAUUAUUUUAACUAAUUAUAAUCACCCAAAAAAUAGCUAUUUCAGUUUCUACAGUCAGAUUUUGUAAAAUCUAAAUCAACCGAGAACAGGGCCAUAGGGUUUUACUGCACGCGAUGCAACAAUCCCAUAUAUAUAUAUAAAACUUUUAAUACGUACGUACACCAUUGCUUAGCAGUGAUGAUGAUACAUUAAUUGAUGAAAGGAGUAUGGAUCACCGCUGAAGCAUACAAAAAGUCACGAGUCGUACGAGAUGCACAUGCAAAUCUAUACUUUUUCUCGUUAAACAGCAUAAAGAGCAAAUUAGGUUUUCCAAUUUCCGAUAAUCUGAAACCGAUACGUACCAUAUUUUCACAGUCAUGGCAGCCCACAUGGACGGUAUUAAUUAAUUAAGCUUAUGUUUUAACUCUACUGUUAAUUAGUAAAUGGCUGUGCUUAAUUAUUACAUUUCUUUCGUCCCCCGAUGCUGGAUAUAUAUGAUUUCCAUGACCUCAUAAAUGAACGUAUAGUAGUAGAAUUAACAACUUCUUCUUGUCUUAAGAGGUGCCCCUUUUUCUCUGUCUGUGGUGUCCAUGACGACAAUGAUGGAGAAAUGACAUUUUUAUCUAUCCUUCUUUCUUCAGCUCCCUCGUGAAAAGAUGAUUAUUUUUCUUUCUAAUUUCCUCUUCAUGCACUCAGGACGUGAUAAAAGCUGUGUUAUGUAUGUGUAACAUAUAUAAUCGGGGGAUAAAAUGGUGAUAAAAUUGUAUACACUCGAUCGUUUGUCCGGGCCGGGGUUACAUCUGAACAAAAGACGGUUUUGAUUUAUGGAUAGCAUCGUUGUGGUUUCAAUCACGUUAAGUAUUAUUAUUAGUAACUUGGAAUCUAUUAAUUUGAAGGAGAAGUAAUAAAUUCUGAGGAUGCUAUAGUUUAUUUUGGCUUCUUAUUGCUUCGGCUGCAACCAUGCAUAGGGUAGAGCACCCCAACCCGAAGUCCAAGUUUUUUGUGAAAGGAAAAAAGGCAUCUGUUAUUGAUAAUAUUCUCGAAAAUAUUAACAAAAAAUUGAACUAGAAAUAGGUCCAAAUGUAUCUCCGACUUUGGCAGGCACCAUAAUCAUAUGCUUCAAGCUAAGACUUUGUCCUUUUUAUUUUCAUAUAGAGCUGCAUGUACAAAUUAUUUGUUGUCAAUUUAUGUAGAUGUAUAAAAAUUCUUCCGAGCUUAACGGUAAUUACUCACUAUCUCCGAUUACGAGUAGACAAUUGAUUUCGAUCUGUUGUUGCGAAUUGGCAGUCACCCACCCCCCAAAAAAAAAAAAAAACUAGAAACAUGAAUAAAACAUUCACACCUAACACCCCCUCUUUAUCUUUAAUUUCCUCAUGGUUGUAUAUGUGUAAUACUCCGUUAGGGGUCCUAAUUUGAAGCUUCUAACGUACAUCAGGCGAAAUUUUAGUCAAUGAGCUAUGUUUGUGAUUGUUCUUUGUCCAUCAGUUAGCCCAUAAAAGCUUGGUUCAGGUAAUCAAAUUUUAAUUAAUAUAUAUCAUCAGAAAUCAUGAUAUAUAUAUAUAUAUAUGUAUACAUACAUGUACAAGCAAGCAAACAUGCACAUAUAAGUCAACGUGGACUUGUGGACCGGACGCAUCCAUGACUAAAGGACCAAAAAAAUCAAAUCCCGGAAAAAGAAAAUGGAGUAUUUCCGGACUGCCUUUAAAUAGUGGUGAAAGAUGAGUCUAAUUAUUCGGUGCUUGAAUCUAACUCGAUUUGAUAAGAACUCAUUUAAAUUUGAUUCUCCAACUAAUCAAUUUAAGUUUGAACACGUCUAAUAACACUCAAAUUCAAUAAAAAAAAAAAAACUUAUUCAAAUUCAGUUUCACAAACAAAUAAAUAAAAUUUAAAAAUAAUUAAAUAAGUUUGAACACUAAAAUAUUUAACUUGAUUAAACUUGUUUACACCUCUAUCGAUCUUUAAGGCGUGGGAUCCACCAUCUUGUCCAGCAGCCCACAGAGGAUACUAAUUUGACAUUGAUGGAAGGUUUUGACGGAGUAAUUAUACAUAUUCGAGACUGAUGAUAGGACGGGGCCAGCUUUCAUUCUUUAUACUGUAUGGUUAUCUAUUUAUUCCAAUGGGGGAGAUUAAUUUAGGGGUUAAUUAAUGAGAGGAAGAAAUGGAAUACAAAUACAAGGAUGUGGGGUCAUACAGAUAUAGGCUACAAAUCAGAGAUGUGGGUCGUGUUGGUUCUGAUGAUAAGAAAUGGACUCCGAGAAUUGACCCAAUCGGGACCCUACUGGUCGAUCAUGAACCAGCAAUUAGGACCCACCGCUCAUCUCCAUGCAUGGUUUUCCAUGAAGAUUUUGUUGCCAACAGUCUCAAAAUAAUAACUUGUAUGUCUUUUUUUUUUUUUUUUUUCUCUCUUGUUUUUUUAAUCUUUCUUUUUUGGUCUAAUUUUCUGAUCAAGUCUUCGUCCUUAAAAAUUCGCUUCCAUUACCAUACAUAUAACAUCCCAGUAUUAAUUAAGAAGGUCAAAUAUUGGAUUUGAAUUUUCGUUUUGCGUUAUUUUGUCAGCACUAGGGUUUGCAUCUCGACCGUCUAUUUUACCUGAAAUGACCAUAAGGAAAAAGAAAAUCAGACUUACACAAAAAAGAUUACGACUACCUAAUGGGAGAAGACACGAGCGGCUAGCUAAUAAAAUCCAUUAUCAAAAAUAUCAAAUGAUAUGGUCGCCGCCUAAUAUGCAUUCACAACAUUAGACUAGUUAACUUAUUGCUUGUCAUAUAUAUCAAAAUUUACUAAGAAACACAAAUUGGGAUUAAUCAGUACUCACCACCACAUAGCCUUUUAGAAAGAUUCUAUGGUUUCUUUUGGAAACCAUCCAUUCUCUUUAACUUGUAUCUCUCAAGAACGAUAUCUAUCUAUUUUUAAAAAUAUUUAAUUUGCUAUAAUUCACGGAUCAAAAUUACUUAUUCAUCAUCCAACCAACGACAAAUUUAAUUCAAAAGAGAAUAUUUUCUCUCUCUUUCUCUCUCUUAGAGAUACAUGUAUACAUCUUUGGCACGAGCAUUUUAACUAGUACGUAGAUCAUUAUCUCAACUGAUCAAAGUAUAUAAUGGGUUUCUUUUCAAAUAAGCAUAGGAAUUGUCUUUUUUUGUGUGUGUGUGUGUGGGGGGGGGGGCGGGAUUAGUUGAUUGAGUACAGCUGUCAAGUCGUUCCUGGGACCUGUAUGAUGUAUGUCAAAACUUAUUGAAGACCAGAAAUAAUUAAGACCAUAGUUAAGAUAAUGACGACCAUCAUCUACCCUCUUAUUCCUUCUCGUGUACAAUCACGAAGGCGAAGAAUAAUUAGACUUCGAGUUCAUUGGCCUAGGUUUCAGUUUCAAGCCUUAGCCCGUGCAAACUUGUCCAAAGUUAAAAGGAUGAUAAUUAUAUGCUAACUCUUGUGGUUUUUCUUUUUCCUGUUCAUGAUGAUUUUCUUUUGGCCACUGCCAAGAAAACUAGAAAAAGCGUGAUGCUUGAGAGCUUUAAAGUAGGACCAAAAACAGAGGCCCUUACUCCAACCCGAUCACCGGGGCCGGGGCAGGGGAAAUUAUCUUUCGUCCUAUCAAACCUUUUAUCGUCGAUGUACUGGGAGAGUGUGUGUUGCGGAGUGGUCCCCACCCCCUGAGCUGCCACGUGUCACGAAUUGUCCCAUUUAAGAAUCACGCGUGUCGGUUGAUUAAAGGCCUAAAUUUCAGUUCUCAACUCCCUCAAUGCGCAUAUCCGGCGUUAAUCACCUAAUUUUCACACUCAAUGUCCGGCUGUAACAACAGGGGCAAAUUUGGCAUGACGUGGAAGAGUGUGACUGGCCAGUGACAUCUUGGCUUAAAGAUAAUUGAGGAAUUUCAUUGUAUUUUAUUAUUGUGACACCACCGUAAUCCCGUGGUCCGUACCCGUAUAAAAGAUGGACCAGCCAGCUCUAAACAACAAUUCGGUCGAUUCUCUGUAUUUUCUGAUGUUGUGCUAAUGUUCUUCUUGCCCGAUAGCUUUUCUUCUUUCUUUUUUUUUUUUUUCUUUUUUGGGGGUCCAAAAAAUCCAAAGCUCAAUAACAGUAGUAUCUCUUCCUGAUCAAAUUCCACAGCUUUUCAGAUUGAUCAAAUUUUGAUCCAUCAGUCCUAGUAGUAAUUAAUGGAGAGUACGGAUUCAUCCACUGGCUCUCAGCAGCCCCAGCUUCCCCCCGGCUUUCGCUUCCACCCCACCGAUGAAGAGCUUGUAGUCCACUACCUCAAGAAAAAGGCCGCCUCAGCUCCCCUUCCCGUUUCCAUCAUAGCCGAAGUCGAUCUCUAUAAAUUUGAUCCUUGGGAGCUCCCAGGUCAGUACUACUAUGUUGAAACUGUUAAUCAACCCUUUUACUUUUUGUUCAUGUAUUUGCAUAGGUCCUUUUGAGUCCUAUACCGGGUAAAGCAUUUUAAUACGGGUUAUGGUCGUUUUUCUUGUUUUGUUACUUUUGUUUUUUUGCAGCGAAGGCGACUUUUGGCGAACAAGAAUGGUACUUUUUCAGUCCGAGGGACAGGAAGUAUCCCAACGGGGCACGGCCGAAUCGGGCGGCUACGUCGGGAUACUGGAAGGCUACGGGGACUGACAAGCCUGUGCUUACCUCUGGGGGGACGCAGAAAGUUGGGGUGAAGAAAGCUCUGGUGUUCUACGGGGGAAAGCCACCAAAAGGGAUCAAAACUAAUUGGAUCAUGCAUGAGUAUAGGCUGGUUGAUAACAAAACUAGUAUCAAGCCUCCAGGUUGUGAUAUUGGCAACAAAAAAGGCUCCCUCAGGGUAAAUGUCUCCAUCAUUUCCUCUUUUUCAAAUUUAUCAUUUUUGUGGAAGAUUGGUACCUUUUUUGAUGUUAAUUUCCUAGGAUGAUGAAUUCAAUUACACUUAUUUGUGAGGUUUCUUUUAUUUUUUUUCUCUUUUAUUUUAUUUUAUUUUUGGCUUUUCCAGCUUGAUGAUUGGGUGCUAUGUCGGAUCUACAAGAAGAACAAUACACCAAGACCAAUGGAUCAUGACAGGGAUGAUUUGAAUGAUAUGAUGCCAUCAAUCCCUCCAUCUUUACCGCCUUCAAUGUCUAUGUCGUCACAACAGAAGAUUCUGGGACUGAAGGCUUCAAACUUUGGUGCAUUGCUCGAAAAUGAACAAAGCGCGUUUGAAGUACCGGGGAUGCUGAGUAGUGAAGGUAACUCUAUGUCUCAGUUAACUUCAUCUGGGGCCGCAAAAUCACAGCUGCCUUUGGUUGGUUCAGCUUCCAAUCAUGUCAUCCCUGCAAAGAGAGCGCUCCCAGCUCUGUACUGGAACGACGAGGGAAACCCAAUUUCUCCAUCGAAUAAGAGGUUUCUUGCUGACAGCAGUGAUGGAAACAUUGGGAGGACUAAUAAUGAUGAGAACAGUUCAAUCGCCACCCUCUUGAGUCAGCUUCCUCAAACAACUUCAUUGCACCAACAAGCAAUGUUGGGAUCUCUUGGAGAUGGGGUUUUUCGACAGCCUUAUCAAGUUACUGGCAUGAAUUGGUACUCAUAGAUGGGUUGCAUGAUUCAUGAUGGUUUAAUUAUAGGCAUGAUUAUUUAUGUUUUAAAUUUUCAAGACAAUUUUUAUAUGCUGAUGACGGAAACCAAGGAGUUAAGUUUGGAUGAUGAGUAUCCGAAGAUUGAUUGCCGGAAUGGAGGUUGAAAUUUCGUGCUAAGCAUAUUAUGCCAAGACUUCUCAGUUGAAAUUUCGCCCGCGGUUCUCGAUGGAGCUUUUAGCCAAUUGUAGGUGAGGCCGUGCAUAUUUAACAGCCGGAUUAAUAUGGAUACUUCUCUAUAGGAUUGGUUAUUCUUAGACUUCCAGAAGAAUUUUCUACUCUUUCUUCAGAGAAAUAGGGGAUAAAUACCUACCUAUAUCUUCUUCUAGAAUGCAGCAACUUAAUGGUAUUUGAAGAAAAUGUAGCACAAUAUUGCUCUUUAUUGUAUAGUAAAUUUAAGGGAGUAUACAAGUAACUCUGCUUGCUUAUAAUUAAGUAGUUCACAAUUUAGUAUCAUUUGAGUUCCUUUUGAUCAUAAGUCUGAGCAUGCAUUUACAUAUGGCAGCUACGUACGUACCUUGAAAUUGCACAACGGCCUUUCUUUCCGGUUGGCUUCAAAAACCCUAAAGAGGUUGCAAAAUCAGAUGUUUGCUCACUUAAACCAUUAGUUCUUCGAUCUUCAAUAAGUUUUCCAGAACUCGAAUUCUCUUUGGGUUUAUUCAUUAUUGCCACCCGAAUCCUGUUACUAAUUUGAAGCUAAUAUUUUGAUUUUGAUUUCUUAAUUCGCUUUCAAGUUGUUGUUUGUCUUCCAUAAAUUUGACGUGAUAGGAUUAAUUUCUGCCAGGCCCGAGUAUUUGAAAAUAUUAAUUAUGUUUUUGUUGAAGAUUUUGCUCUUAUGAAGCCAGUGGCAUAGGCUUAUAGAAGACAAAAGCCUUAAUUUUGGUUGUGUUCAAGAAAACGCAAGAAGAAUUGAUCUUUGUCGCGUCCGAAUACUGAAUGAAGAAGUCCUGUUGUGGUUAAUGUGCUAACAGAUAAUUAACUUAAGUACGGGGAUUACUGUCCCAAAUCGCGAAAUCUGUAUGCUAACUCAGAGAUUCUAAUCGCUGGAGCAAAAGAGUUGAAGAUAAACCCUUGCGUGAUUUGAUUUGAAACAUCAUUAUUGGCAGAUGGCAUUCUGAUUAAGACGUAUCAUGAUACGACAUAAUUUAAGGAGGAAAAUCAUACAGUGUAAAAUUGAAGUCCCUUGUGUUAUCUUGUUUUGACUUAAAUUAGGACCCCCAAACCUCUGAGUAAAAAUUAUAGCAUACCAAAUUAAUAAUAAUAAUGUUUCUAGGAGGAAAAUAAUCAAGAAGCAAGCAGAUAUUACUUUUUUUUCUGUACAAAGGGAACCAAAAAUACUAAUACUAGUUCCUUUUAACUUAAUUGCAGCAGCAGCUCUUGAUCAUUUGUUUGUAGUAAAAAUGAAAGGCACUAGUGUGUGUGAACAUGGUAAAUGGGUUUUGGAUUUUUCCACUUUAGCUAGCCGUUGGAAACGUUCCAUAUUAAUGUACAAGAAAGCAUUGUAUUGCAUCACGUCAUCUCCUUCCAUUCCAUGAUCAUCUUCAAAAAUGAGUUGAUGAAGAAUUUGAGUUAGCGGAAUGGGGGCGUCAUUAUCUCUUCUCCUUUGUUCAAUGAAUCGAUAAGACAUGGGGGCGUAUAUUCCAUCAGCAAUAGGGUCUCACAUGUUGACAACAAGAGGCUACCUCACAAAUGGCUUUCUCUCUUGGCUGACUAUAUAUGGGACCAUUCUUGCUGUCACCCAAGGGAAUCAUUAUGUUAAAAUUAACCACACAAAUUUAUCAUCGUUAAUCCCAUUCCUUUCUUGGGCAGGAGUACAAAACCACUUUAAUUUUGUUGCUGCUUAAUUUUGCAUUUGAUAAUGCACUAAUAUUUUUAUUUCCUCCUGGAACGACCAUUUACAAGCUACAGCACUCGUGUCUGAGUCGAGUCCAGUGGAGCGGAGUAGUAUUGCAUGUUCUCUUCUUCUUCUUUUUCUUCUUCCUCAAAGACUGUAUGUAUAUACAUAAUUCAUCCACAUACUUUUCACCUACCUGCAUGAAUGAUUAUGCCAGAUCAAAAAAAUGCUUACGCAAGGUACAUUUGUAUGCCAUACUGGGAAUUGUAGCAUGUAUUUCACGUUUUCGCAGCAGACCGCGAUUGUCGUAUAUACGUAUUUAUGUACGUACAAGUGUAUAUGCACUAGCGGAAGAUUAUCGCAUUGAAAGCAACACUUAAGCUCGGUUAGCUUGCUUGAUGACCUAUAGAUGAUAAACCCUUUCACAUUCCUUUUUUCAGUCUGCAGAUUUGGAGCAAAUGAGAAAGAGGGAUUUUCAUUAACUCUAUAUAUAUAUAUAUAUAUAUAUAUAUAUAUAUAUAUAUAUAUAUGUUGAUGAUGAAUCAUGAAUGGCGGGGGAAGUUAAAGAUUGAUGAUCAAGUGUUGUGAAUCUUGUAUUUCUUUUAUAAAUGGGACAGUUCAUUAAUUGACUACAACGGCUGGGAAAUAAUUAACCUCAUUGAUGCCACAAAACCCCGAAUAGUCGUCUUCUUGAUUAGCGACUUUAAUUACGUCCAACCAACCUUGUCUAGAUAGAGAAUUAUUUGUCAAAAUUUAUUUGCUUACAUCAUCAUUACAAUUUCAAACACAACUUUUUAUUUUUUUAAUUAACUUUUUAUCUCACAUACAUCAUAUCAUAAAAAAAUGUUACAGUAAAAAUAUCUCAAAUAAUUUACAAUCCAAACAGAGCCUUGAAUCUUUCCCAAAUCAUGUAGGCACAUAAUUGAAUUAAAUUUAAAUAAAUAAAAAAAUUAGAGAUGAUGGUCUUAAAUCCUGGCCCACACAAAAUGGUAGAGUACCACAACUCCAAGUUGGGGUUAUGAUCAAACUUCAAAGCCCUGUAUCCUCUUUUUUUAUAGCUACAUUGCAGCAAAAGGCUUUAAUCAUAACCAAUCCUAUCCUGAUAGAUAUUUGCCGAAUCACUGAUUCGACUGCUGAAUUCAAGGCUUCUACAAAGUUUACAGUAACAGAGUUCAACUCUGACGUUGACAAUCGUUUGGCUUUCAAAAAGUACACCAUCCUACCACCUCAAGGAAGGACCACCACCACUUUUCCGGCUGCCCGCCACCGCCUCACUGCCCUUUCAUUUAUAGAUAAAUCUUGAUUUGACUCAGAAAAGAUCUAAGUGCUAAUCCACUACAAAUCUCAAGAUGAUGGAACUAUUAAUAUCAAAUCACAUCCCAAAAACAAAAAAAACAAAAAAAAGAAUGGACCGUAUGAUGUAUUCCAAGCAAUUUAAGGGGUUAAAGUGAUAAUAAUCCAAAAAAAAGGAGAAAAAUACAAAGGAAGUGAAACUAGAAGAUAUUAUUCUCUCUACACGGCAAAUGAAUCAAAUAAAAUCUUCUUGAAAGUUGUUUUUCUUCUUGACACCGUUUGAAUAAAAUCUGUUGGAACAAAUUAUUCCCCCACCUCUCAAAAUGUAUGAAUCAAGUAAAAUAUGCCCAUAAAUGGGCAACAUUAAUGGGCCACAUUUUCUCUGUUUUAUUGCUGGGCUUUCCGGACAUCAACAACCCGACAAAAUAACAGAUUGCCUACCUCUGAAUUAUGCUGGUGUUACACUCCAAGCCCUUCAAUCCAGAUUUUUUUUUUGGUGACAUUAAUUAACUUUGAUUUAUACACAAAAUUAGUUAGAACUGGACCACUACUUCUUCUAAAUACUUUAUGGUUUUUUAGCUAUAAUUUAAAAAAAAAAAAACCACUCUAUAUCAAUUUUUCCGGCCAUCAAAUCAAAAUAUCUAUCCUAUUUUUGUAGAUUAAUCUUUGCAAAACCAUCUGUUUAUAAAUUCUUUAAACUAGUUGAUUGACAUAGAUGCCAAAUUUACAAAAAAUAAAUUUUAAUAAAAGGUACAUCACACGCAUCUUUGUGCAAAAAUUACUCAAACAACAUCCUAUACGGAAGAUUUAUUUUUAUAGUAUUGAGUUUAAAAUACUGUCUAUUCAAAAAAAUAGAGAGAAAAGAAUUAGAAGGACAAUUAUAAAUCAUAUUACUUUUUUUGGAUAAAUGAGAGAUUUUGAAUCCAAAUCGUACUAUUUUAACUUCCCUCGAGUAUGCCGUCAUUACAAAUUCCAUCCAUUUUAGUACUCCACUAGCAUCUAUAUCUAUAUAUAUUGCAGGGAGAGUUUUUAGGAUGGUUAAAUCAGAAUACUUAUAAUUCCUCAUUCUUUUUUUUUAUAUAGAAUUUUAAUUUUUUAAAUUGUUAUAUAUCAUUUCAUGUUUUUUGAAUUUAAAAGUAGGAAGUGGCCCACUUAUAUAGGAAUUUGAUUUGAAAUCUAUUAAUGUAAGGGUAAAUAAAAAGGAAAAUCACUAACUCUACUAAAAGUAAAUAAGUAAAUAACAAUAUAUUUUACUCUUCAAUUUAGUAAUCCUAACUAAAAGGGCAAAUUAUAUAGAAAAUAAAAAGAAAAUAAUAUUCAUUGGUUAUGAAUUAAAAAUAUCAAUAAUGGUACCAUUUGUGAAUGCUAGAUUAUGAAAUCACUAAAUAGAAAACAAAGUACUACUAGCCUAAAAAAACAAAUUAUGAAUUUAAAGGGUUUGGGAGAAUGGUGAAGGAAAAAGAAUAGGAAAUUGGGUGGCAAAAAUAGAAAGUUAAAGGCUAGUUAUAGGCGAGAGAAAGAGAAUAGCAAGGAGUUUAAAGAGUGGUGAAAAAAAAUUUGAAAAAAAGAAGGUAAACUACUACAAGAUUGAAUGAAGAAAGGAGAGAAGAAAAAAAUGGAAUUGUAAGGAUAUGACAGGAAGGAUGACACCGUGGUAAGAGGUCUGAAAGUCAUAGAAAACAGCGGAUAAUCAAUUAACAGGUAAAAGAGAGUGGAAAGGGUGAUAGUUUUUAAUAAUUUUGAAAAUUUUAAAAACACAUCUUGCAAAGAUUAUUUUAAAUCUAUAUUAAAACUUAUGAAGAACAUUAUUCUAUAAGCACUCAACAAUUUUAGGAUUACAAGAUGAGAGAAAAAUUUUAUAAAAUUGAGGAAAAUGAAUUAGUUAUACUUUAUAUUUUUAAUGUUAAAAAUUUUGAUAUAUGGGUAUAACAUGAUAUACUGAUAAAUAAGUUUACAAUUGCUCUAUCAUGUAAAUUGUUAUAAAUUAAAAAUUAUUGUAUUCAAAUUGUUAUCAUAUGCAUUGACAGAAAAUAGGUUAACAAAAUUUGGUUUCAACUUAUUUAAAAUAUUAAAAUUAAGAAAAUCUAUUUUGUAAAACUUUUUUUAACAUGUCAAGCAUAUGUUUUUUUUUGAAUAUUUUUAUUUGUUUCAUAUAUUUUAUCCUAUACUAUAAUAAAAAAGUAUUAUUUUGAAAUGAAAUAUAAAUACGUGCAUAGCACUGGAUCAAAAUGCUAAUUCUAAUAUAGCCUAAGGAGUAUUUGACUGGGAAGUGGGAACGGAUGAGAGCAUCAACAGAAAAUGCAAUCAACAAGAGGCACGAUCAAGGCAUCUGUCGAAGUUUGACCAGUCAGUAAUAGUGACCUGGUCAAGUACAGCAGCGUGUCUGGGAAGUUCCAUCUGUCUUUCCUAUUGAAGAUUUACAUGAUGAUCGGAUCCAAGUCAAAACUCUGAUCAAACAUUCAAAAACCAAAAAAAGGAACAUUCCCCGUAAGUGUAACCCCAUCCAUGCCGAGUAAAGCACACCAUAGGAAAAAAAAAAAAAAGCAAUACCAUGGAAAAGUCAAUACCACCAUCGACCUAUAAAACCAAAAAACCAAGAAAACCUCAACAGCAAUCCAAGAGUACAACAAUCAUAGGACUAGUAAGUUCGCUUGCUCAAGUUCACAAAACGGAGAGCGAUCCAAUCCCUCUGAUGGAGGUGACUAUCACAGUGGAGAGGCUUCCAGUCGUGGCAGACGAGUCUUGGCACGGUCCAAAAGUAGCAACUCAAAGAUCCCGUAUUAUGCAGGCUUCAAGGUUAGCACGAGGUUUGUAUCCAGAGAUGGUGUCCCUAGCGCCUAGAUAUUAUGAUAAAUUUAGGAGAAAACAAGCCAAGAAGGAGAUUCUGAGGAGAGCUUUGACGCCCCCGGUUCGCCGGCCGACCUUAAGGUGGUUGGAUUUCAGGCCAACACCCAGCCGUCUUCGUAAUAUGUCCAGGGAAUGAUCAAAGAUUUGGUUGCAAUAAUCCCAAGUCUCUGCUUCAGGAGAGGCGUUUGAACGCUUUUUGUUGUCAAAUCUCGAUUGCAGAUGGAGCACUAACUAGUUUCUGUAUCGCUAUUUCUUGUGGCGUCUGUACAUAUUCUUGAGCUAUGAUUGAUCCAUGUAAUUAUUGCUUUCCGGGACUAAUUAUUAAUUAUCUUUUCAUAAACCCAAAAAAGGGAAAAAUAAAAAUUCAGUACACAAACGUCAAAUAGCAAAAAGCAAGUACAUAGCAUUUAUUGUGUGUUACGUAACAAAUCACAAGUAGAUUUUUAUUACUUGUUUUUAACACGAACUACAACAGAUUAUAUAUAUACCAAUGUAGGAGUCUGAUAUAUAACCCUGGCCAAGUGACUGAUUACAUAUUUCGAUGGGGAAUUACAAGAAGGGCUAUACAUACACAAUGUUGUUUACAAUGGAAA